Molecule: long non-coding RNA, 5280 nt
Organism: Solanum pennellii
Lineage: Eukaryota; Viridiplantae; Streptophyta; Magnoliopsida; Solanales; Solanaceae
Exons: 4
Source: RefSeq, a predicted model, not a curated record
ACACUGUAAACUUAUGGGGUGCUGUGAAAUGUGAAGGUGGAGAAAAAGGAAAAAUAACAGUAGGCAACUACGAAGUGGGAAGAGAAUCCACAGGUCCACAACUUCAAUGUUCUUGUUAAGAUAGAAUUUACUCUUUUCACAUUUACGGUAUGACUCUUCAUCCACAAAAGUUAGGAAGCUCUACAUUGUCUUUACUAUAUGUUUUAAAAUAUUGAUCUGGAUUAGCAUCCGAAUGCAUUCUUUGAUGCAUAUAAUUGUGUCAUAAAUAAAACAUCUAGUUGAGUAGAUAGUGAUAGUUCAGGUGGGAAGGGAACAACUAAUCAGCGUCGAGGUGUAUUUUAAUACAUUUAGGGUGAUAGUUCAGGUAGGAAAAGGGAACAAUUGAUAAUUUGGGUGUGAAACUCGUGAAAAAGUGUUAGUUCAGGCGCUAUUGACUCUAAAAUUUAUUAAACCACUAAAACAACAGUAUAUUUAAACUAAUAACAUAAUACAAUACAAUACAAUACCAUAGGUAACAAUCAUCCAACUAGCUAUUUAGAGGAAAGUUCGCCAAACAUUACUAACUUUGGAAUGGAAUGAACCAUCAAUAAAUCUUUUGCCCUAAAUAAAGUCUAGCAAUGACAAGAAAUAGGAAUUUUCCAGAAAAGAGUUUUUAUAAGAUCUAUUUAGUAUAGAAUCGGUCUCCUUUUAUCUUAACUGCUUUACUCAAGUUUCUUACCUCUAAUUCACUUUCCCUGUAUUCACAUAUUAAGAGUUUAAAGAUUCAGGAUCAAUAUUUUCUCCAACUCAAAAUUGGAUGCCUUUAUAAAAUAUAGGAACACAAUUAUGAAUAGUUUUGUUAGUUUUCAUUAAAUAUUCCCUUAAGUUAGUUAAAAGUUCUAAUGCAACUAAAUUUGCAGGGAAAAGUCAUUUUAGGGAAUUGAAAUAACUUAAAUAUCUUUUAAAAAAUAAUAAUUUAAUUUUGCUUCUCAAUUUACUAAGAAAUGAAAUUAAUUUAUACCAAGUAUGGAAUUUUAUUUAACAGAAGUAAUGACAGACCUUAAAACUUAAAGAUGCGUUCUUUUUCUUAAUGCUUCAUUGUACUUUGCUUUGUAACCCAAGGAUUAGAAAGGUUUUUAAUCAGUGUUAUUAUUCAAUAGACUUCUUUAGGAUUCUUUUAAUGUCAACUUUAAGCUUGAUUCUGUAACAGAGUACAUUUUACUGAAACCUGGAACUUCUGUGAAGUAGACUGCAUUAAGAAAUAGCGAAGUAAAUCAAGGAAUUUCUUCAAAGAAGAGUAGUGGAAGAAAAAAGUAGGGUAGUCGCUUUUAAUUUUAGUGACAACGAGUUGCGGCCCUUCAAUUUUAUUAUGACGAAUUAUGAAGAUCGAAAGCAAGUUUGGAGCGAACUAGUAGAAGAAUCACUGAAGUAGGUUUAGUUUAAAUUGCAAAAGAUAAUUAAUGUUCAUUAUAUUUAUGAACUUGAAACUUUUUGAAAUUUUAAUUUUAUAAUGGAACACAUCUUUUAUAUAUUACUAGUAUAUUGUUUUAAGAAGAUCACUUCUCAUUGAUGCAUGAUAAAUGUGUUCCCAAAAACUAGUAAUUUUAUAAGCAUAUAGGAAUCACAAGAAUUGCUCCAUGGUGGAUUGGUUGGCAUUUAUGAACUGUGAAAAAGUGCUAAGGCUCAGCAAAUGGCAGAGCAGAAAUAGAUAGCUAAAGUUCCCUUGGAAUCUGAGGGACCUAAAACUGGAAAGGCUUAGCUGUGCUCAGGUGACUUACGCGGAACCUACACUUUUCACUUUUUCUCUGGACUCUACCUCCACAAAAGUAGAAAGUGCUACAUUUGUUUAUAAACUAUAUGCUUUUUUAAAUGCUGAUUUAGAUUAGCCUCCAGGUCCUUUAAUAGUCAACUGAUACUUUUAAAAUGAGACAUUUUUAUUGAAGUCCUGAAAAGUAAUUUGACAUGAUUUAAAAGGAAGUAUAAGAUAGUAGAGCACCUUGAAUAUCCUGUUGUCUGGAUCAGGAAUAUCUCAAACAAUCUCACUUGUUUGUCCUUUAUUCUGGCACGAAUAAUAUUGGCCGUGACACAUUGAUGCUCAUUCUUUUCCUUUGCUAGUGAGUUGUGAGGUGCAUAAAAGUUCUUCUUCCCAACGAAUAGCAGUGCAGAAUAGGAUAUUAAAAGUACUCAAUGAUCAAAAAGGACCUAAAAGUGGACAUCCAAGCCAUGUUGGAUGAAUUUUCUUAGCCACAAAGUUCUUACCUACACUUCCAUUUUAUUCCUUGAUAUGCAGGACAAUUACUUCACAUCAGAAAAGGUAAAAGUGCAAUAUGCUUUCCUUCUGCGUCUUGUAUAGGCAGUUGCACACUUUGAUUCCCCAGUACAGCUUAAAACUGAUAAAUGGACAUUGUGUUUUGAUCACUCAUACUGUUGGGGCCAUGGAAUACCUACUCAUUUUAUGUCUCAUGGUUUACUGUGACUGGAAAUCCGAUGAACUGGAUCACAUGGAUUGCUAAGAGAUAGAAGAUUGUCAAUUUAUGUAACCGUGACCGAACUUGUUGGAUUAUGUAUCAAUUUGUUAAAAGAGCGAAUGCGGCAUGCAUAAACCUCAAAGCUAGAUGCGUCGCAGGUUAGGUUCUUUGCAUUGUUUAGGCAGUGCUUAAGUGUAAGUCUGUGCCUAGAAAGAUGCAGCCAACUAAUUGCUUCUUAAUAAGUUUAAGUAAUAAUUUAUAAUGCCUGUAAGUUUUGUUAUGAAGAGGGCAAUAAUAAAAUAAUAAUUAAAAAACAACAAAAACCAAUGUAAUUCCACAAGUGGGGUCUAGGGUGGUAAGAUAUAUGCUAUCUUACCCCUAACUUUAUGGGGUGGAGAAGCUGUUUCCGUAUACCUUCGGCAAUCCUCCUCUCUUUAUUUGGGUUUAGGACUAAUAAUUUGAACAAGCUCACAUUGACAAAGUCAAAGAACAAAUAAUUAUAAAGCAAGUUAUUUAUCACUUGUUAAAAAAGCGUUAUGGAAAAAAAUGUUAAUGAUUAAAACAGGUAGGUAGAAACUUAGUGAACAAAAUUAGUCAAGGACAAUUAGUCAAUAAAAUUGAAUUAGAAACUUUAAUUUGCAUCUUUGCAGCGGAUUUUGAUAUUUAUGUUUCACUUGUAAUUUUUUUCUCAGUUCAUUUGUCCAUAUAAUGGCUUGUUUGUGGUUAUUUUUAUUUCUUCAUCUUCAUAUUCGUCUUCCUUCACUGACAUGCGCUUUUUAAUCGUUCUUUGCACUUAAAACCGACCAUACCCUGGGGUGCUCUUCUUCCCUUUUGCUUUUGGCAACACGAUUCUGAUUCUGUUGUGGGAACUAGAGUUCACAGUCCAGCAUCCAGUAAUGUUCAUACUGCCAUGUUUUUUUUGGUCAAUUAACAUUAAUGAAAUGGAUGAAAGAAAGAACCUUUAGAUCCCAAGAUAGGAUGAUCACUUUAGUAGUCAAUUGAAUUGAUGCACUUUUCACUUUUAAGUUUCAGUAAAGGUGAAGAGAAAAAAACCUAUGUCCUUGCUGAUUACAGAAUAAAAACUGUAUUUUUAGCUGUUUUAAGGGGGUAUCAUGUAACUUGAUUCUUCACUACAACUAAACUUUUGCUGACCAUUGCAGUAUUUUACUUACAUGGUUGCUUAUGAACUACCAUUUUUAGGAAAAAGUAUUGCAUCGGUGCUUUCCUAUCCUUUGAGAGUGGACAUUUUAUUCUUUAUCUUCAGUGAUGGGUCGUUCGUUGUGCUGAAAGAGAAUCUGGGACAAAUACUAGAUGAGAGAGAGAGAGACCCUGGACCAAAGGAGUAUGUUCCAACAGAAGGAUGACCACAGUGGAAAGCAGAAAGCAGAAUUGAGCUUCAAUUAUAUUGCACCAGCUCACUAUGUCAUAUACAGCCACUGAGCAUCCAGAGGUCGUUGGAUGAUUCAGUAACAACCAUGAAGCUGCUUCAUCUUCAUCUUCUUCAUCUAUAAUCGUAUCAUCUGCAUCUUGUGUCAAACUCAAGAACCCAUCAUCCUCCGUUCCUUCCCCUGUGGACCCACUAAUCAUCAUAGAAUCACCGCCAACAGUUUCAACAGCUGGAGGACCGUAAAGGGUUCCUGGAGAUUGGAAUCAGAGCCGAGUUUAGAAUUUAAGUUUGAUGAGUUCAAUUUUAUGUUUUUUAUUAUUAACACAUUACACUUUUGAUAUUAUGGUUUACAAGCCAUAUAUAUUGAAAUUUUUGUUAUUUUUCUCAUGUAGGAGUAUAUAUGGUCUUUGUGAAGAAAAUGGUGGCUACCUGGAAUGGGAAUAAUUGGGAUACGGUGGUGACGAUGUGCCAAGGGGUUGGCAGAAUGGAUGUCAGCAUCGCAGGAGGCACAAAGUGAGGCAGCAUCCGCCUUGCAAAGAAAGGCUGCAGGGGCACGCUCGCAGGCCUCACAAACCCACACACGCUUGUGACGAGAAGUCACCAGACUUGCUGCAUGUAUGUGGGCGUCACAGUCUGCACACAAAUAGGCAGAAUCCGCCUGGCAGUAAAUGGUACAGGUAUGCUGCAGACUUAUGGGGCACUGUGGAAUAUGAAGGGGGAAAGGAGGGAAAAUAACAGUAGGCAACUAUCAAGUGGGGAAGAAUCCAAGGGCGACACGUGGAGAGAAGUUAAUGGGUAGGAAAAGUUUUUUCAUCAUCUUGUGGUGGCUGGUGAUUCUGGUGGGGCCAGAUGGUGGUCAGGCCACAAGGUGAUUGAAACAAGUGGGUCCAGGGGCCUUGGGCUUUUGGAAUCAAUUGUGGGAGAGCUUUGUUCAAGGGAUUGCCUUUUAGGUGGAGAUUAUACCGACAAAUUUCCCAUAGUUUAUUAGGUUUUCACUGUUAGGGGUGGUGGGCAUGGUACAGACAUGUACGGCAAGAAAUAGAUACAUAAAGUCCUAAGGAUCUGAAAGGGCCUCACACCCACAACAAACUGAGAAAUUUGUGAGCUUUGUAAAAAGUGCUGAGUUUCAGGCUUUCAGCGAAUGGAAGAGAAGAAAUAGGUACUAAAGUGUCAUGGAUCAAGCGGGACCUCAAACUUGAAAGGCUUAGCCAGGCUCUAAUGACUUCUGUGGAACAACUUCAAUGUUCUUGCUGAGAUAGAAUCUACUCUUUUCACCUUUAUGGUAGGACUCUACAUCCACAAAAGCUAAAAGAAAGAAGCUCUACAUUGUCUUCUAAGUUAUAUGCUUUAAAAUAUUAGCCUUGAUUAGACUCUGUAUGCAUUUUUCGACAGUCAACUGAUACAAUCUAAGAUGAAACAUUUUUGUUGAAAUCUUGCCUAAGCCUA